This 981-nucleotide non-coding RNA is filed under the name Halcyon coromanda (ruddy kingfisher). RNAcentral describes it as "12S ribosomal RNA". It matches the Rfam family "Bacterial small subunit ribosomal RNA". The record is from RNAcentral. Lineage: Eukaryota; Metazoa; Chordata; Aves; Coraciiformes; Alcedinidae.
AAAGACUUAGUCCUAACCUUACCGUUAGUUCUUGCUAGACAUAUACAUGCAAGUAUCCGCGCCCCAGUGUAAAUGCCCCCGACCUCUUACCAAGACAAAAGGAGCAGGCAUCAGGCACACUGCCUCAACAGUAGCCCAAGACGCCUUGCCCAGCCACACCCCCACGGGUACUCAGCAGUAAUUAACAUUAAGCAAUAAGUGUAAACUUGACUUAGUUAUAGCAACACUCAAGGGUUGGUAAAUCUUGUGCCAGCCACCGCGGUCAUACAAGAAACCCUAAUUAACCGUCACACGGCGUAAAGAGUGGCCUACACAUUUUAUCGUACUAACUAGGGCUAAAAUGCAACUGAGCUGUCAUAAGCCCAAGAUGCACAAAAACACACCCUUAAGACGACCCUAGCACCGACCGACUGACUAUAGCCACGAAAGCCAGGACACAAACUGGGAUUAGAUACCCCACUAUGCCUGGCCCUAAAUCUAGAUGCUUCUUUAUCCCACCAAAGCACCCGCCAGAGAAUUACGAGCACAAACGCUUGAAACUCUAAGGACUUGGCGGUACCCCAAACCCACCUAGAGGAGCCUGUUCUGUAAUCGAUAACCCACGAUGCACCCGACCACCUCUAGCUAAAACAGCCUAUAUACCGCCGUCUCCAGCUCACCUCACCUGAGAGCCUCACAGUGAGCACAACAGCCUUAGCCCGCUAACAAGACAGGUCAAGGUAUAGCUGAUGAGGUGGAAGAAAUGGGCUACAUUUUCUAAAAUAGAAAAAUUCACGAAAGGGGGCAUGAAACUGCCCCUAGAAGGCGGAUUUAGCAGUAAAAUGGGACAAGAGUGCCCUAUUUAAGCCGGCCCUGGGGUACGUACAUACCGCCCGUCACCCUCCUCACAAGCUUACUAACCUCAUAACUAAUAACCCAACUAAGCUGAAGACGAGGCAAGUCGUAACAAGGUAAGUGUACCGGAAGGUGUACUUAGCAUAC